CCUACGGGUUGCACCAGGCGCGAAACCUUUACACUGCGGGAAACCGCGACAAGGGGACACCGAGUGCCAGCAUACAAUGCUGGCUGUCCACAUGUGUAAAUAGCAUGUGAUAGCAAGGGCCGGGCAAGACCGGUGCCAGCCGCCGCGGUAACACCGGCGGCCCGAGUGGUAAUCACUAUUAUUGGGUCUAAAGGGUCCGUAGCCGGUUUAAUCAGUCUUCCGGGAAAUCUGACAGCUCAACUGUUAGGCUCCCGGGGGAUACUGUUAGACUUGGGACCGGGAGAGGUAAGAGGUACUACAGGGGUAGGAGUGAAAUCUUGUAAUCCCUGUGGGACCACCAGUGGCGAAGGCGUCUUACCAGAACGGGUCCGACGGUGAGGGACGAAAGCUGGGGGCACGAACCGGAUUAGAUACCCCUGUAGUC
This 424-nucleotide ribosomal RNA is filed under the name uncultured archaeon. RNAcentral's name for it is "bacterial SSU rRNA". It matches the Rfam family "Archaeal small subunit ribosomal RNA", at positions 322 to 746 of the family's 1478-position model. The record is from RNAcentral.